RNAcentral lists this transfer RNA (77 nucleotides) under Candidatus Altimarinota bacterium. Its description in RNAcentral is "tRNA-His". It matches the Rfam family "tRNA". From Rfam's summary of the family: Transfer RNA (tRNA) molecules are approximately 80 nucleotides in length. Their secondary structure includes four short double-helical elements and three loops (D, anti-codon, and T loops). The record is from RNAcentral. Lineage: Bacteria; Candidatus Altimarinota.
GCGAAUGUAGCUCAGUUGGUUAGAGCGUCGGACUGUGAAUCCGAAGGUCGUGGGUUCAAGACCCAUCAUUCGCCCCA